UGGAUCCAGACUUUGAUUCUGGCUCAGGAUGAACGCUAGCUACAGGCUUAACACAUGCAAGUCGAGGGGAAACGAUAGAGAAAGCUUGCUUUUUCUAGGCGUCGACCGGCGCACGGGUGAGUAACGCGUAUCCAACCUGCCCACCACUUGGGGAUAACCUUGCGAAAGUAAGACUAAUACCCAAUGAUAUCUCUGGAAGACAUCUGAAGGAGAUUAAAGAUUUAUCGGUGAUGGAUGGGGAUGCGUCUGAUUAGCUUGUUGGCGGGGUAAUGGCCCACCAAGGCGACGAUCAGUAGGGGUUCUGAGAGGAAGGUCCCCCACAUUGGAACUGAGACACGGUCCAAACUCCUACGGGAGGCAGCAGUGAGGAAUAUUGGUCAAUGGGCGGGAGCCUGAACCAGCCAAGUAGCGUGCAGGAUGACGGCCCUAUGGGUUGUAAACUGCUUUUAUAAGGGAAUAAAGUGAGCCUCGUGAGGCUUUUUGCAUGUACCUUAUGAAUA
Molecule: ribosomal RNA, 500 nt
Filed under: uncultured organism
Description: bacterial SSU rRNA
Rfam family: Bacterial small subunit ribosomal RNA
Source: RNAcentral